GGAAGGGAGUAUCACUUUACACACUGGAGGAGAUGGGAGAGUGUGAGGAGGACCUGGACUCCACAUCCUCAUCCCCAAACAUCUCCAGCCCUUUGACUCAGCCCCGAGUGCCCCCCACUCCCCCUUCUACCCCAUCCACUACCUCUUGUCCCUCUAGCACCUUUCCACCUUCCGAUCUCUACCAUCCCUCUCCUCUCUGCCCUCCCUCCUCUCCCACCAUAGGGAAGACACUAACCCCUUUCCUGCUUUGUCAAACCAGGGCCAACCUCAAGCAUCCUUCGUUCCCAACCCUAAGACCUGUCAACUCCACCAACGGAGGGUCCCCUGUGUCCUUGACACAGUCGGGUGGAAGUAAGGGAUUCAGUCCCCUCUCUUUACUCCAACUCAAGACCAAGGCCCCUGGUGAGGCUUGGAGGAGUCCCGGUCUGAGGGAGGGGUUGACCACCUUCACCGUGGUGCCCCGAGGGCAGUCACUGAUAGGGCACAGGGGCUUGGAGGCGGACCUGACCCUGGCGAAGACCCAGGCCUUAGACCCAGCACAAACCAUUGAUGAACCCUCUAAUGGUGUUGCUGAGCCUGGGUUGGAGCACCACCGGACAAUGAAGAAGACACCUGUAUUGCUGGAGAGGUCAUCCCACCAGCCUCCACUGCUUUACACAGGAAAGAAGGGAAGGGCAUAUCUUUAUGUGAGUGUGUACAUUUUACAGUGGUAUUUUUUUUCUCUCUGGAAAGACGUCAUUUGUUACAUUAAAUGGCGACCUACGCCUUUCUAAACAGUCCUGCCAGGCUGGUAUUCUUCUGAGACACCUUGGUGUUUGUCUGUUAUCUUUAUGUGGUAUAUGGCCCUGUGGAAUACCUCUGUGGACACGCUCACACUCUGUGUGACCUGGUGGAGGAAGGACUUCAUCUAAACUGGUGAUAUUUGUGUCUCUUGUCCCACAGGGGCCAUAAUGGCUUCUUAGUAAAUCUGUGAAUGGAAGUUCCUGUUUAGAGUGAGGCGACUGCAGUGAAGUAGUAGUAGUCGGCCACCACAUAGUCACAUGACCUCCAAGUGGACCCCACUUAUAGGAACCCAGGCCCCUUGUUUUGCACGGGGAGUCAGCACGUUAUAGAAACGUUUAUCCAAGACUUCAUCCAAGAGUUUGGUUAGUGUACAGGUCAUUUUAUGUUCACUGAAUGUUUGUUUUUUUGAAUCAUGCUACCUGUAUUAACCGGAGGCAGUGCUGCCUUAUGUUAUUAAGAUGUUUGACUUACAAAUGAGCCAACAGGAAACUCCAUGUACAAAAAUGUAUAUCCCAUAAAUACUGUACUACCAAGGUCAAAUAAGAAAUGCAUCGUCAUUUCUUAUUUGACCUUGGUAGUACAGUAUUUAUGGGAUAUACAUUUUUGUACAUGGAGUUUCCUGUUGGCUCAUUUGUGUUGAAAUGUGCCAAAACCGAGAUUAAAUCAUAUGUAAUCUCUCAUUUUAUUUUGAUAAUUUUUUUUUUUCUGUCAAUUUCCUUCUACGUAUCACACCUUUUCUGAGUGAAUAAUUUUUUCCCAGACAUCAUUACUAUAUAAUAUAAAAAUGAUCAACCAUAAUCAACUAAGGUGUGUUGCUUUUUUUUGCCACUGGAGAGCAGGAGCACACUUCACAAAUAAGUAAUGUACAGAACCUCUGAGUGAGCUGUUUUGUGAUCCACACUUGAUAAAUUAAUAGCAUUGACAUAUCCCGAUAUUUAAGAAGAGCAUCAAUUAUACAUUUUCUUUGUCUUUACUGGUUAUACUUUUUUUUUUUUAAAUGCAUUAGUGUGUUUCAGUUCAAGCCUUGUUUUUAUUGUCCAUAAUUGAGUUAUGGUUGGUAUUUGACAAGGAUAUUCUACCGGGAGCUAUGUGUAGAACGUUGAUGGAAGAUAAUGCACAUGAUGUGAAAAAUAAUGUCCUUGUUAUGCAUUCUAUGUUGUUCAGAGUGCAACACUACAGAAUAAACUGAGAAUAUACAGUGUUAAAUCUUGUACUGUUGACAUAUUGUACCUCUGCCCGAAGGCUGCACUGUGUAACAGUAUGGAUGGGUGCUGAGUGCAUCCACAGUAUAUUGAUUCAGCUCUGGCCUUAGAGACAGCCGGCAAGCAGCAGUUGCUACAUACAGUCAGACCUAGCCAGAGCAGAUGCAGCCUGUGGUUAAAGCCUCUUACUACCAUACCAGGGCAGAGGGCUGGGAUACAGUCCUCGCCUCUAGCUUCAUCCUUUUC
This 2231-nucleotide long non-coding RNA is filed under the name Oncorhynchus mykiss (rainbow trout). Its description in RNAcentral is "lncRNA (ENSOMYG00000053252.1)". The record is from RNAcentral. Lineage: Eukaryota; Metazoa; Chordata; Actinopteri; Salmoniformes; Salmonidae.